RNAcentral lists this ribosomal RNA (457 nucleotides) under Schmidingerella taraikaensis. RNAcentral's name for it is "partial Bacterial large subunit ribosomal RNA". It matches the Rfam family "Bacterial large subunit ribosomal RNA", at positions 657 to 1113 of the family's 2925-position model. Lineage: Eukaryota; Ciliophora; Spirotrichea; Tintinnida; Rhabdonellidae. The record is from RNAcentral.
UAGGUGUAGGCGUAGCGAAAGCGAGUCUUAAUAGGGCGCAUGAGUUCGUGGGAUCAGACCCGAAACCGAGUGAUCUAGGCAUGGCCAGGUUGAAGGUGACGUAACAGUCACUGGAGGACCGAACCGACUUCUGUUGAAAAAGGAGCGGAUGAGCUGUGCCUAGGGGUGAAAGGCCAAUCAAACUCGGAGAUAGCUGGUUCUCCGCGAAAACUAUUUAGGUAGUGCGUCUGGUAUUACCGCCGGGGGUAGAGCACUGAAUGGGCUAGGGGGGCGCGAGCCUUACCAAACCUAAUCAAACUCCGAAUACCGGUGAGUACUGCGCGGGAGUCAGACUGCGGGUGAUAAGAUCCGUGGUCGAGAGGGAAACAACCCAGACCGCCGGCUAAGGUCCCUAAAUCAUUGCUGAGUGGGAAAGGAAGUGAGAGCGCUUAGACAACCAGGAUGUCUGCUUCUAAGC